RNAcentral lists this ribosomal RNA (616 nucleotides) under Ponyalis alternata. RNAcentral describes it as "partial 16S large subunit ribosomal RNA". It matches the Rfam family "Bacterial large subunit ribosomal RNA", at positions 1804 to 2723 of the family's 2925-position model. The record is from RNAcentral. Lineage: Eukaryota; Metazoa; Arthropoda; Insecta; Coleoptera; Lycidae.
UUAACAAAAACAUGUCCUUUUGAUUAUAAUUUAAGGUCUAAUCUGCUCAAUGAUUAUUUAAAUAGCCGCAGUAUUUUAACUGUGCAAAGGUAGCAUAAUAAUUAGUUUCUUAAUUAGGGGCUUGUAUGAAUGAUUGGACGAGAAAAUUUCUGUCUCCUUUUAAUUAAUUUUUGAAUUUUAUUUUUAAGUUAAAAAGCUUAAAUUUUUAUAAAAGACGAGAAGACCCUAUAGAGUUUUAUACUUCUAAUUUAUUGAUGUUUAGAAAUUUCUUUAUUUUUUAUGUAUUUAGUUGGGGUGACUUGGAGAUAAAAUUAAUUCUUCAAAUAUUUAAUUGAUGAUUUUUAAAUUAAAAAUCUAGCUUUUUAAAUUUAAAAUUAAUUACCUUAGGGAUAACAGCGUAAUUUUUCUUUAAAGCUCUUAUUGAAAGGAAAUUUUGCGACCUCGAUGUUGGAUUAAAAUUAAUUUUUGGUGCAGUAACUUAAAAAUUAGGUCUGUUCGACCUUUAAAAUUUUACAUGAUCUGAGUUUAAACCGGCGUAAGCCAGGUUGGAUUCUAUCUUUAGAAUUUAUUUUAUAUUUUAGUACGAAAGGACCAAAUAUAUACCAUAUAUUGGUUG